Molecule: long non-coding RNA, 907 nt
Filed under: Gallus gallus (chicken)
Lineage: Eukaryota; Metazoa; Chordata; Aves; Galliformes; Phasianidae
Description: lncRNA (ENSGALG00010002931.1)
Source: RNAcentral
CAGCUAAUACUCAUGUGUGUCAUAGUAUAAAAGGAAGGCGCAUCUUUUGACUGAUUAUACUUCAGCCUAGGACAUACAGCUUCUUCUAAUUUCUGUUUAGAAUGGUGUAUAUAUAUAUCUCUCUAUAUAUCUUUCCUUGACCAAAAGUGGGCCAAGAGCAUAAAUAAAGAAGUCUACAUACAACUUUAUUUCUGCAAAACAUGUUGUAAUCAAAUUCUGUAUACUACUGACUUUUUAACUCCAUUGUAAAUACUUUUCUCACACAAGCACUUACCAAAACCAGGGUUGAAACAGGUGUGUUACUCUAUCUACAGCUGUUCUAUAUGACAGAAGGCAUAAAUAAAAUAUAAAAGAAAAGAAAAAAUGAAAAGCCUGUUUGAUUUCUUCCACAGCUGCAGAGCAUGUCAAACCAGUUUCUGAUAGCAAGAAAGGGUAGAAGUCAAAAUUCAACGUAUAUGACUUCAGGGGAGAAUUUUCUGAUGAUUUAGAGAAUGUAUGUUACCUUCACACUACUAUUGCUUUCAAAUGUCCCUUGCUAGGAUUGUAGCUACACAACAGACAUCCUGAAUAAUCUAUUGGAGUAAAUUCAGCAAACUACCUAAAGCAACUCUUCAAAUGUAGAAGAUGUAUGUGCAAACAAAUUAAAAAUUCACAAGAAUUGUCAUCCUCUUUCAUCUUAAUCAGAUGGCAUGUUUGUCAUAAUUAUUUUUUUCAUUAACAUUUGAUGAAUAUUAACUUUACGAAAUAGAACAAUCUUGCUCCUGAAAAAAUCAAGUGGAGCUCUGCAAGGCCAAAGCCAAAGGCACUCUGUGCCUUUGAUGCAUCAGUGCUGAGGGCACGGCAGAUCAACAACAGGAGUCUCCCCAGCUUUGAGGACUUUGCAUGUGGACUAUUGCCAGAUGAUCCU